AGUGAACGCUGGCGGUAGGCCUAACACAUGCAAGUCGAACGGCAGCACAGUAAGAGCUUGCUCUUACGGGUGGCGAGUGGCGGACGGGUGAGGAAUACAUCGGAAUCUACUUUUUCGUGGGGGAUAACGUAGGGAAACUUACGCUAAUACCGCAUACGACCUACGGGUGAAAGCAGGGGAUCUUCGGACCUUGCGCGAUUGAAUGAGCCGAUGUCGGAUUAGCUAGUUGGCGGGGUAAAGGCCCACCAAGGCGACGAUCCGUAGCUGGUCUGAGAGGAUGAUCAGCCACACUGGAACUGAGACACGGUCCAGACUCCUACGGGAGGCAGCAGUGGGGAAUAUUGGACAAUGGGCGCAAGCCUGAUCCAGCCAUACCGCGUGGGUGGAGAAGGCCUUCGGGUUGCAAAGCCCUUUUGUUGGGAAAGAAAAGCAGCAGGUUAAUACCCCGCUGUUCUGACGGUACCCAAAGAAUAAGCACCGGCUAACUUCGUG
RNAcentral lists this ribosomal RNA (492 nucleotides) under uncultured bacterium. Its description in RNAcentral is "partial 16S ribosomal RNA". It matches the Rfam family "Bacterial small subunit ribosomal RNA", at positions 29 to 507 of the family's 1533-position model. The record is from RNAcentral.